UACGGAGGAUGCAAGCGUUAUCCGGAAUGAUUGGGCGUAAAGCGUCCGCAGGUGGCUAUGUAAGUCUGCUGUUAAAGAGCAAAGCUUAACUUUGUAAAAGCAGUGGAAACUACAUAGCUAGAGUGCGUUCGGGGCAGAGGGAAUUCCUGGUGUAGCGGUGAAAUGCGUAGAGAUCAGGAAGAACACCGGUGGCGAAAGCGUUCUGCUAGACCUGUACUGACACUGAGGGACGAAAGCUAGGGGAGCGAAUGGG
This 253-nucleotide ribosomal RNA is filed under the name uncultured bacterium. RNAcentral's name for it is "partial 16S ribosomal RNA". It matches the Rfam family "Bacterial small subunit ribosomal RNA", at positions 524 to 776 of the family's 1533-position model. The record is from RNAcentral.